UACGUAGGGGGCGAGCGUUGUCCGGAUUUAUUGGGCGUAAAGAGCGUGUAGGCGGCCAGGUAGGUCUGCUGUGAAACUCGAGGCUCAACCUCGAGACGUCGGCGGAAACCAUCUGGCUAGAGUCCGGAAGAGGAGAGUGGAAUUCCUGGUGUAGCGGUGAAAUGCGCAGAUAUCAGGAAGAACACCCGUGGCGAAGGCGGCUCUCUGGGACGGUACUGACGCUGAGACGCGAAAGCGUGGGGAGCGAACAGG
Molecule: ribosomal RNA, 252 nt
Filed under: uncultured bacterium
Lineage: Bacteria
Description: partial 16S ribosomal RNA
Rfam family: Bacterial small subunit ribosomal RNA
Source: RNAcentral